This is an RNA transcript of Toxotes jaculatrix (banded archerfish), 7194 nucleotides long. It is a transcript of the gene named patatin-like phospholipase domain containing 6, with no coding region annotated. NCBI's taxonomy places the organism in Eukaryota, Metazoa, Chordata, Actinopteri, Toxotidae. The record is from RefSeq and is a predicted model, not a curated record. The transcript is spliced from 31 exons.
UGGGCUUCACGAGAGAUGAUUUCCGUUGUAUGUUAUUUGACAGGCAGUGACGAUUGACGGGACACCAUCAGCUCAGGGGUCGUUGAUGGACCAUCCCUAUGAAGAAACAGGGUUACAAUGGGACAGAGUACCUCGGAACAAGAGGUCGAGGACGGGUUUGAUAACAUCAAGACAUUUGUGGAGGAGGAACUGCAGACGAGCAUGAUGGUGGGGAUGGUGAUUGGCGCGGGCAUCGCCAUAGUUCUCAUCGCCAUCCUCAUCUUCUUCAUCUUGCGGAGGAUCCAGCUUCGAAACCUAGAAGCUCAGGAGGCGCCCAAGUACCGCUUCCGCAAGAGGGACAAAGUCAUGUUCUACGGGCGAAAGAUCAUGCGUAAAGUCUCGCAGUCUACCUCUUCCCUGGUGGGUACAUCCUCUUCCUCUCGGCCACGCCUCAAGAAGAAGCAGAAGAUGCUCAACAUUGCCAAAAAGAUUCUGCGCUUUAAGAAGGAGGUGCCCACCCUUCAGGCUAAGGAGCCCCCUCCCUCAGUGCUGGAGGCAGACCUCACCGAAUUUGAUGUGGCCAACUCCCACCUCCCCUCUGAGGUGCUCUACAUGCUCAAAAAUGUCCGUGUGCUGGGUCACUUUGAGAAGCCCCUCUUCCUGGAGCUGUGCAAACACAUGGUGUUUCUACAGUUCCAACAAGGGGAGUACGUCUUCAGGCCAGGCCAGCCUGACAGCAGCAUCUACGUGGUUCAGGAUGGAAAACUAGAAUUGUGCCUUACUGGAACGGAUGGCAAAGAAAGUGUGGUGAAGGAGGUUUACCCAGGAGACAGCGUCCACAGCCUCCUGAGCAUCCUGGAUGUCAUCACAGGCCACCAGAAGCCUUACAAAACGGUGUCGGCACGGGCUGCAGAGGUUUCCACGGUUCUCCGUUUACCUGUAGAGGCCUUCCUCUCUAUAUUUGAGAAGUACCCUGAGAGCCUGGUGCGAGUGGUACAGAUUAUCAUGGUUCGUCUCCAAAGAGUAACAGUCCUAGCCCUGCACAACUAUCUGGGACUCACCAAUGAACUCUUCAGCCAUGAAAUGCAGCCCUCGCGUCUGCCACCUCCGUCACCCCACCCAACUCGCACCAGUCCCAUCCGCCAUGGCAAGCGCUUCGGCAGCCUGACAGUGCCUGAGGAGCAUCGGGAAGCUGCCAUUAAGGGUGAAGCUGCAGGAGGAGAACAAGGGAAGGAUGGAGCGACAGUGCCAACUCUUAGCAGGACCAUUUCCAUGCCUGUGGACAUUGCUGGUAUUCAGAAAGGUCUGCGGUCAGACUUUGACAUGGCGUACGAAAGGGGACGGAUCUCUGUCUCUGCAGAGGAUGGCAACACUCCUCCCACUUUUGCUCGGUCUGUGUCCCAGGACCAGCGGGAGAGGAGGGUGACAGUAGAUGAGGUUCCCUCAGGGAUCUACCUGUAUCCAGAAGAAGAGUCGGGAGUGGACAAUAUUUUCACACCUGUGUCCUGUCGAUCUACUGCUGCUCUAUUUGAGGAAGCUCAGAAAGAGAUUCUCAAACUUAUGAGGAUUGAGGACCCAUCUUUGUUAAAUGGGAGAGUGACUCUGCACCAUGCAAAAGCUGGAGCUGUGUUAGCCAGACAGGGAGACCAGGACAUGAGUCUGCACUUUGUCCUAUCUGGUUGUCUGCACGUCUACCAGCGGAUGAUCAACAAGCAGGAAGCCGUCUGCUUGUUUGUGACUCACCCAGGAGAGAUGGUGGGCCAACUCGCUGUGCUCACCGGAGAACCCCUCAUCUUCACCAUCAAGGCCGUCCGAGACUGUGCUUACCUCAAGAUCUCAAAGUCGGAUUUCUACGAGAUCAUGAGGGAGCAGCCCAGCGUGGUGCUGAGUGCAGCCCACACAGUGGCCAUCCGCAUGUCAGCUUUUGUCAGGCAGAUGGACUUUGCUAUUGACUGGAUGGCAGUGGAGGCUGGCAGAGCCCUCUACAGACAGGACGACCAGUCAGACUGCACCUACAUCGUUCUGAAUGGACGUCUGCGUUCAGUCAUCCGCAAGGCAAAUGGCAAGAAAGAACUAGUAGGGGAAUAUGGCAGAGGAGACCUCAUUGGAGUGGUGGAGGCUUUGACCAGACAGCCAAGAGCCACCACUGUCCAUGCUGUGAGGGACACAGAGCUGGUCAAACUGCCCGAGGGAACACUCAACAACAUCAAAAGACGAUACCCACAGGUGGUGACCAGGCUGAUCCAUUUGUUAGGCCAGAAGAUUCUGGGCAACCUGCAGCAGGGUCGUGGGCCAUUCUCAGGCUCAGCCCUGAGUCUGCCCAGCAUGACAACUAGUGCAGAUGUAACCAACCCUGCUAGCAACCUCUCCACUGUGGCCGUGCUGCCUGUAUGUGAUGAGGUGCCGAUUAACGCGUUCAACCUGGAGCUCAGCCAUGCCCUCAGUGCCAUUGGGCCCACUCUGCUGUUAACCAGUGACAUAAUCAGAGAGCGUCUGGGUGCUUCUGCUUUGGACAGUAUCCAUGAGUACCGUCUGUCUGGCUGGCUGGCCCAGCAGGAGGACAUCAAUCGGAUUGUGCUGUACCAAACCGACAACAGCAUGACCCCAUGGACUCAGCGCUGCAUCCGCCAGGCUGACUGCAUCCUCAUUGUUGGCCUGGGGGACCAGGAACCUACCCUGGGAGAGUUGGAGCAGAUGCUGGAGAACACAGCAGUCCGGGCUCUGAAGCAGCUGGUCCUUCUGCACAGAGAGGAUGGACCAGGCCCCUCCAGGACAGUUGAGUGGCUCAACAUGCGUAGCUGGUGCUCCGGCCAUCUGCACCUCAAGUGUCCUCGCAGGGUUUUCUCCAGACGCGGCCCCAGCAAACUGAGGGAGGUAUAUGAGAAGGUGUUUGAGAAGACGGCCGACAGGCACAGUGAUUUCUCUCGGCUGGCCCGAGUCCUGACUGGAAACAGCAUCGCCCUGGUGCUGGGAGGAGGUGGAGCUAGGGGCUGCUCUCAUGUGGGUGUGAUCAAAGCUAUGGAGGAAGCGGGGAUUCCUAUUGACAUAGUGGGUGGGACCUCGAUUGGCUCAUUCAUUGGUGCGUUGUACGCUGAGGAGAGGAGUGCUGUCAGAACCAAACAGAGAGCUAGAGAGUGGUCCAAGGCAAUGAACUCAGUUUUUAAAACCGUCCUGGACCUGACCUAUCCCAUCACCUCCAUGUUCUCUGGCUCUGCCUUCAACACCAGCAUCUAUAAAGUGUUCCAGGACAAGCAAGCUGAGGACCUGUGGCUGCCAUACUUCAACGUCACCACUGACAUCACAGCCUCAGCCAUGCGUGUUCAUCAGGAUGGUUGCGUCUGGCGCUAUGUUAGAGCCAGCGCCUCCUACACCCCCUAUUUACCUCCCCUGUGCGACCCCAAGGAUGGCCACUUGCUUGUGGAUGGUUGCUAUGUUAACAAUGUCCCAGGUCAGAUUUUAAACACCCGCUCACCAGAACCUCCUCCCCCAUCCCUAAGUCGACAGUCAACCUCUUGGCUACCCUCCUCCUCUUUCUUGUCCUCUGCCUCCCAAGUUCUCACUCAUAACUAACCCCACCCUGACCAGGUGGACAUUGGGACCUCAUGGUUUGGAAGGAAAAACUAAUUUCAAUAUAUAUUUUCAGGCUGAUCCAAGCAAUACCUCAUAUAUUAUUAGAUAAUGACCAAUAGCACAUCUUAUUCUCUCUCCGAUUGGCUUUGUUAUUCACAUGCACAACGUAUUUUCUCCAGCUGGCUGAGCGCCACCAUCACUGCUGACCCUCAUUUUCUUACUGGAUGUGAGGUUUUGCCAAUGCAUGUCUGCACAUCUGUGGGUCAUAUGGAGUUGCAUGAUGGUCCAGCUUUUUAAGACGCUCUGUGUUUGCCAAAAAAAAAACUUCCCUUCUCCUUUAUAUCAAUAAAGUUUUAGAUAUGGCUUGUAAUCACCGAUGUCAUCACGCACCACUUGUACUUGCUUACUGUGAUAAGUCUUUACAUCUCUCAGCUUGGCUGGUCAGAUUCAACUGGUUUGGAUGUAGCUGGACUUUCAGUGUGAGAUCAGGUGCAGACAGUACUGUAUGUUUUGGGCGAUAGUUCUGCCUUGCUGGAGAUAGGGAAGAGCUGCACCAUGUCAGCAUCACAUCUGUCUAUUGCUGUUGUUGUUGUUGUGGAUCGUUGCGCGUUUUGGUGGGCCUAAUUGUCUCUCCCCUUUGGCCUGAACCGCAGCUUGUUUCCCAUGAGGAUGUCCUUGUGAAAUUGCUUCUGUUUCAUUUCAAUCAUCUUCUGCCAACAGGAACAUUGUUCAGUCUCUCCUACACAGCCCCUGUCCUCUUCCCUGGCUUUGCUUGCUUUUAUAUGCAUGCCAGUGUUAAAUACAGUGAGCCCAUAUAUAUAUUUCUCAUAAAUAUAUAUUGAUGGCAUAUAUUACCUUUCAUUUAUUUUUUUAAAAAUAAGUUAUUUGUUGGUAUGUGUUCUGGAUCCUGCUGUUGCCCGUUUUAGCCACUUAUACAAACUGAAUGAAGCCCUUAAGUUACAUAAAUCUAGAGUAAAUACUGUGUAUUACAGUUAGAUAAUUCUAGCUCAGUAUUUUACGUAUACUCCAUGCACAGUUGCACCCCUUGCUUUUCUCUGCGGUGCUCCUUAUCCUUCCAACCCAUGCAGCACCCGGCCUGCUCCUGUCCCCUGCUGGCACUGAGCUGUACUGCAGAUCUGAGCAGGCUUGGUGCUUCCCUGCCGUGUUCACGGUGACGUAUCUCCAAACAUUGUCACAACACCUGCUGCUGCUCCUUCUCUUGACGUGUUGACAUUGUAUUCUACCACUGAAGCUCUAUUUAUAAUAAUUAGUCCCAGCUUCAACCUACAGUAUCUGUGGAUUUUGCAAAAACUUAAGAGAUUAUGUGCUUCACAGAGCAGGUGUUGGGACAUAGUUUGGAGAUUCAAACAGCCUUGGUGCUCUGUGAUGGUUGCCAUUUACUUUUUUACCUUCUGCACAAGUCACACAGGGUCUCUGUGCGAGGUAAUGAGGUUUGCAGUGGUGUACAACAGAGUCUAAAGGUGAGCAGAACCACAGUCCUAGCCUUUGCAGGGACCAGCUACCUUCCUUUAGCCAGCCUCCCUCCAGUGUUGGGAUUGUGGUCUGUCAACACUAACUUGAAACGUUUAGCAAACAAUAUUGAGCUGUUAUCCCCCCCUCCUUCCUCCUCCCUCCUCCCUCCUUCCCUCCCUGGUGUGCCAGGCUCUCUGUGGCGCUAUGUGCGGGCGAGCAUGACCCUCUCAGGGUACCUGCCGCCUCUCUGCGACCCCAAAGAUGGCAACUUGCUAAUGGACGGUGGCUACAUCAACAACCUGCCAGGCAAGUAGAGGUGGUACCUCUCACCCCCCUCCACCAAUAUACUGUACAAUCCUUAAUGUCCACCCAACUCCUGUCUGCUGGAGGAGGGGGGAAGCUGGAGUGAGGGAUGCGGAUGAUUUUUAGGAGGGGUUUUAAUCAAGAUUACACAAUACUAGUGGAGGGAAGUCUGCUGUUGGUGCUGAGUUUUCCCCAUCUGAAUACUGAGCUGGUUCAGACCAUUAAUUAGUUCAUCUGGUGAGACAAAAUUCAAUCAAUUAACCAAACUGAAGAUAUAAUGGUAAAAACAGUGAGCUCAGUGAAACCCUGAAAUACUCUGAUCUACUAGAUGGGGAAAAAAUCAGCACUCUGAAUACAGACAAUGUUUCACUGAUGAAGGUAUAUACAAAUAUUAAAGAUUAAAAGAAGAAAUACAAUUUUGAGUCAGGGGAAUGUGGUAUUUGUCUGUCAAACAGCCUGGUGUCAGGUGUAGAAUAAAAAUUGGGGUGGGGUGCUUCAAAGAAUUGAAGCCAAUGUGUAAUUCCUAAAUUAUUUUUGAGACACAGGACACCAGUCUGCUUUGAGAUUAAAGUCUGGUUCUCCUCAUGUUGAAAUAAGCACUUUUGUGUAGGGCUGGGUGAUAACUCGAUAUGAUCGUUUAUCGCAGUUGUAGUUUAAUUCUUAACUACAUUAGAUAUUGAAGUUUUGGUUUACACUGGUAGACAUGUUUUUGUCCUGUGUAAACUUCAGUUUGAUUUCUUUGAGUUUGCAUACAUUUUCCAUAUUUUUAUAUAUAUUUGUCAAUAUUAUCUAAAAUCCUAAACAAUAUUGUGACAGUGAUUUCAGCCUUAUCACCCAGCCCUACAUUUCUGUUUGUUAUGCUGAAGUUUGUUUUGAAAUUCUGUAUUUACCUCCAUUUCAACCAGAGGAAAAAUGAGUGGAGUCUGUUUAGAAAGAGGACAGGGGAGCUGUUUGUUUUUUUUUUUUGUCUGUGGACUAUUAAAUAUGCCUUCAUUACCUGUAAGUAUUUAAAAUCGCACAAGUCCAAAUUUACACAUUUCUACGCCAUGUAUGCGAAGUAAGACUUAGUUGAUAUGAGCUAUUUUGGCUUUCAUGAUGGUGUGCAGACAAAAACUCCCCUGUGUGUCUGUCUGUGUGUAGUUAUGACAAAGAGUGUACUCUGUACUGAUGAAACGCAGCCAUAUUUCACAAAGCUCUGGACUGAGUUAUUGUAAUUCUCUGUUUGGUCUGGGAAUCAUGUCUCAUUAUGUCCCGAGGGAUCCGCGUUUCAGAAGUUUGUGAAAUAUGUUGCUCUCUGGGCCCAAAGACCGAUCCAAGUAAAGGAAGCCUUGUAAAAUCAGCAUCCUUCAUUUCUAAAGUUUAUUACUCUGCCUUCUCCUCGAAGGGUUUGUGCUCAAUCAGCUGCAUUUAUAGUUGUUCUUGGCUCACUGGAUCAGUGCUUUGGGCUUGUGGGAUGUCUUCCUGUUUCUGUCUUUGAAUAGGCUCAACACCACAAAAAUGCUCACUCCCCCAAAGCUCUUUUUAACACUAACAAGUCGGUGAGAAAGCUUAUGACCUCAGACCCUGUGCUUGUUGGCCAGGAAAGUAUACAUUUUUUUUUUGAGAUUGCAGUACUCUCUGUCACUAAUUUGCCAUAAAUGCUCUGGAGUGCAUCUGACAAGUUAGAAAAAGUUUUGUGGUGUAAGUCUGUUUGAACAUUGUGUCUCCUUAAAUGAAGGGUUUAAAGAAGCUGAGUUUAUCCCGAAACAAGGAUUCAUUGUCUUACCAUCUCUGCUGCUGGAUUUUGUCGUGCUGUGUUUGUAUGUCUGCGCGCGUGUGUGCACGUGUGUGAAUGCUGGUGUAUGCGUUACGCGUCCAACAGCGGACAUU